This 497-nucleotide ribosomal RNA is filed under the name uncultured bacterium. RNAcentral describes it as "partial 16S ribosomal RNA". It matches the Rfam family "Bacterial small subunit ribosomal RNA", at positions 28 to 507 of the family's 1533-position model. The record is from RNAcentral.
GAUGAACGCUGGCGGCGUGCCUAAUACAUGCAAGUCGAGCGAACAGAUGAGGAGCUUGCUCCUCUGACGUUAGCGGCGGACGGGUGAGUAACACGUGGAUAACCUACCUCUAAUACUGGGAUAACUUCGGGAAACCGGAGCUAAUACCGGAUAAUAUAUUGAACCGCAUGGUUCAAUAGUGAAUGACGGUUUUGCUGUCACUUAUAGAUGGAUCCGCGCCGCAUUAGCUAGUUGGUAAGGUAACGGCUUACCAAGGCAACGAUGCGUAGCCGACCUGAGAGGGUGAUCGGCCACACUGGAACUGAGACACGGUCCAGACUCCUACGGGAGGCAGCAGUAGGGAAUCUUCCGCAAUGGGCGAAAGCCUGACGGAGCAACGCCGCGUGAGUGAUGAAGGUCUUCGGAUCGUAAAACUCUGUUAUUAGGGAAGAACAAAUGUGUAAGUAACUAUGCACGUCUUGACGGUACCUAAUCAGAAAGCCACGGCUAACUACGUG